GUGCAGCGUUAUCGGGUUUUAUUGGGUUUAAGGGUGCGUAGGCGGCUUAUUAAGUCAGUUGUGAAAUCCUAGUGCUUAACGCUAGAACUGCGAUUGAUACUAUUAGGCUUGAGUUAAGAAGAGGUAAGCAGAAUUUAUGGUGUAGUAGUGAAAUGCUUAGAUAUCAUAAGGAAUACCAAUAGCGUAGGCAGCUUACUGGUCUUUAACUGACGCUGAGGCACGAAAGCGUGGGGAGCAAACAGGAUUAGAUACCCUGGUAGUCCACGCCGUAAACGAUGAUCACUCGAUAUACAUGAUACAUCAUGUGUGUCUAAGCGAGAGCGUAG
Molecule: ribosomal RNA, 326 nt
Filed under: Candidatus Cardinium sp.
Lineage: Bacteria; Pseudomonadati; Bacteroidota; Cytophagia; Cytophagales; Amoebophilaceae
Description: bacterial SSU rRNA
Rfam family: Bacterial small subunit ribosomal RNA
Source: RNAcentral